This 975-nucleotide ribosomal RNA is filed under the name uncultured bacterium. RNAcentral describes it as "bacterial SSU rRNA". It matches the Rfam family "Bacterial small subunit ribosomal RNA", at positions 62 to 1037 of the family's 1533-position model. The record is from RNAcentral.
UCGAGCGGAUCGUUUAUCGGGGAAUCUUCUGAUGGAACCGAUGAAAGAUAGCGGCGGAACGGUGAGUAACGCGUGGGUGAUCUACCCUUCAGACUGGGAUAACACCGGGAAACUGGUGCUAAUACCGGAUACGGUCUACGGGAGGCAUCUUCAUGUAGCAAGAAAGGUGGCUCACGCUACCGCUGAAUGAUGAGCCCGCGUCCCAUUACCUAGUUGGUAAGGUAACGGCUCACCAAGGCAACGAUAGGUAGCCCGCCUGAAAGGGUGCUCGGCCACACUGCCGACUGAGACACGGCCCAGACUCCUACUGGAGGCAGCAGUGGGGAAUCUUGCACAAUGGGCGAAAGCCUGACGCAGCACCGCCGCGUGAGCGAUGAAGGCCUUCGGGUUGAAAAGCUCUGUCAUCAGGGACGAAAUCUUAAAGGCGAAUAGACUUUGAAGUGACGGUACCUGACGAGGAAGCCCCGGCUAACUACGUGCCAGCACCCGCGGUAAAACGUAUGGGGCGAGCGUUGUCCGGAAUUACUGGGUGUAUAGGGCGUGUAUGCAGCCUGGCAAGUCAGAUGUGAAAAAGCCCGGCUUAACCGGGAGCAUGCAUUUGAAACUGCCGGGCUUGAUGGCACGAGAGGAGAGUGAAAUUCCCGAUGUAUCGGUGAAAUGCGUAGAUAUCGGGAGGAACCCAGUGAUGAAGCCACUCUCUGGCCUGGCCUGACGAUCAGGCCGAAACAUGCGGAGCAACCCGAUUAGAUACCUGGUAGCCACGUCGUAACGAUGGUACUAGGUUAGGAGGUAUUGAGCCUUCGUGCCGGACUGACGCAUUAGUGCCCGACUGGGGAGACGGCCCUAGGUGGAACUCACGGAAUGACGGGGCCGCAAAACGUGGAACUGUGGUUUAUUCGAGGGACGGAAUAACUUACAGGCUUGAAUCGCUGACCGUCUAAAAAGAGUUUGCUUCGAGACAGCAACAGUGGUCAU